Molecule: ribosomal RNA, 253 nt
Filed under: uncultured bacterium
Lineage: Bacteria
Description: partial 16S ribosomal RNA
Rfam family: Bacterial small subunit ribosomal RNA
Source: RNAcentral
UACGGAGGAUCCAAGCGUUAUCCGGAUUUAUUGGGUUUAAAGGGUGCGUAGGUGGCUUUUUAAGUCAGGGGUGAAAGACGGUAGCUUAACUAUCGCAGUGCCUUUGAUACUGAAGAGCUUGAAUACACUAGAGGUAGGCGGAAUGUGACAAGUAGCGGUGAAAUGCAUAGAUAUGUCACAGAACACCAAUUGCGAAGGCAGCUUACUAUGGUGUUAUUGACACUGAGGCACGAAAGCGUGGGGAGCGAACAGG